Molecule: long non-coding RNA, 378 nt
Filed under: Nicotiana benthamiana
Lineage: Eukaryota; Viridiplantae; Streptophyta; Magnoliopsida; Solanales; Solanaceae
Description: long non-coding RNA (NBEN_LNC010013)
Source: RNAcentral
UAAAACACACUCUAAAUAGUUUUAGCUAAUGUUUUCUUAGGAGUUGCUUCUCUUUUCCUCUAAUCUUAACAAAAUCUUGAAGAACUUCUUUGGGACUUUUGGUUUUUCAUAAGUCGAAAAUGGAUUGAAUGUGAAGCUGGUGUUUACUGUUGUAUGUUGCAGACUGUCAAGUUGAAGUUUUCUGGCUGAUUUCUGUUGCUCCUCAAAGAUUUUCUCACUUACUCUUUGUUGUACCCAGAUAUGUUUUGGAACCAUUGAGUGACAAAGAUGAAGUUAUAAGCAUGUGGUUUUGAAAUUAAUCUCCAAAAUGUCAAAUUUUAGUUCUUUUCCUAUGCCUAUGAUCUCUUCUAUUUCUUUAGCUUUAGAGUAUUCUUUUAC